CUAAAGGGACGAGCUUUUUGAACCAUCGAUGUAGUUUAUCCUCAGAAACAAUGGUUCAGUUCCACGCCAUUCACCUCCCACCACAACUAUUACAACCCAAUUUCAAAGUUUUGCAGCCAAAAAUUCUAACUUUUAUGAUUAUCAAACACACUACAAAAUUGGGAUUAAUUCAUGAAUACUCAUGGAUUGUUUCGUUCUUUAACACCAGAUUCUCUUCUUUUUCCCCCCCACUUUUCUUCUAGAUCAUUCCUCAUUCUUCAAAAGCAAGCAAAUUUGUCAAUACCCAGUUUUAGAUAUUGCCGAGGUAGUGGCUUUGGCUUUAGUCCGAGACAAUUUGCACCAGUUCUUUUCAGGUAUUAUAAAAAAAGAAACAGUCGUACCCUUUUGAGAGCGAGCUGGAGAGAGUCUCCUUAUGAAGUUUUGGGUGUCUCUCCUUCUGCAACUCCUGAUGAAAUCAAAAGGGCUUAUAGGAAACUUGCUUUGAAGUAUCAUCCUGAUGUCAACAAAGAGGCAAAUGCACAAGAGAAAUUUAUGAGGAUUAAGCAUGCAUAUAAUACAUUACUGAACUCUGAAUCUCGGAGAAGAUACAACCCUGGAAACCGAACAUCUGAUUUUUCAUACUCAAGAACUCAACGAAGCCAAAGCCCGAAUACCCAAGAGGAAGAAUUCUAUGGAUUUGGUAAUUUUUUGAGGGAUGUUCAAAUUACGCUAGAGGACUUCUUUAGAGACCUUCAAGAAGAAUUUCAGAAUUGGGAAGCAAGUGCAUCUUCACAAGAAAAGCCGAAAAGCUUGUGGGAGGAAUUAGCGGCUAUUGGAGAGGAAUUUGUUGAAUUUCUGGAGAAAGAGCUCAACAUAUCUGAUGAUGAAUUCGAAGAAAACAACAGAAACGACUUCAGUAAUUCCGAGAAAACUGGAAGCAGUUUUCGAAAUGAAGCUAACAAGGGUAGCAGCAUCGAGGAGAACAUCGAUGAAAUAGAAGCUACUCUUGCUAAAUUGAAAAAGGAGCUAGGGUUAUAACAAAGGAAAUGCAGCUUUUAUAUUGCCUUGACAAAAAGUCGAGCUGUUUUGUGAGCUUACCAUGCUGGAAAGUGAAUUGCAAUAACAUUUCCGAAGUUCACAUGCAAAAGAAACAUCAAUGUACGAUUUAGAAGCUCCAAGAAAGGGGAAGCUCACCAACACUUGAAAACUAGCAGUUGCUCAUGCAUUUUAUCCAUCUCCAAUACACCCCAAAUUCAUCUCGAUCUUGUUCGUAGCGGCCAUGGCAAAGCCUUUGUCAUCUCUCAAUCUGUAGAUUUCAGCCAUGCUAAUGCAAAGCCAAUAUGUAGGACUCUUUAAUACCACAAACAAUGGAAAUUCUUCAAAUCGUAUCUUUGCAGUUGAGUUCAAUACUAAGCAGAGUAUUGACAUAGAGGAUAUAGAUGAAAAGCAUGAAGGAAUUGAUGUGAAUGGCUUCAAAUCCAUACCAGCAACAUGUUUUUCCAUUGAAGAAAGGAAUAAUAAGCUUGGAGCUCAUCAAUGUACAUCCAACACAGGCUUGGGUAGAUUACAAUGAUGGAGAACAACUACUCACUGUAAACUUGGAACCAACCACAAGCAUUCCAUGAAUUCAAUUACUUUAAUUACUCUUUAGCUUGGGAAAAGCUUCAAAUUUGAACAUCUGUGUAAAAAAAAAAAAACUUAAGGCUGAAGAUUUUAAGAUUGGAAAA
Molecule: RNA transcript, 1706 nt
Organism: Gossypium raimondii (Peruvian cotton)
Lineage: Eukaryota; Viridiplantae; Streptophyta; Magnoliopsida; Malvales; Malvaceae
Exons: 6
Source: RefSeq, a predicted model, not a curated record